GAACGCUGUCGCUUUGGAGAACAAAAUUAUAAAAUUUAACAAACCUAUAUACACAUAUUGGAUUUGCUGUAUUAGAUAUUAGCAAAACGUUAAUGUAUGAUUACCACUAUAAUGACAUGCAGAAACAUUAUGGAGAGAAGAUAAAGCUUAUGUACACUGACACAGAUUCACUAGUGUAUCAUGUUCAGACAGAAGAUUUUUCAGUCGCGUUAUAUACAUUACACCGGGAACACGUAUUAGUGACGCUCCGUAGUUUUUCGCUCAGUGCUAAGUGAAGGGCUGUUCGUUUUUUGUGCGGUUUGGCCAAGAGCUACCUACGACUCUCGUGGUCAUUUUGGUGCAUCCCGCGCGGAUAUUGGCUCAACCUGUGCGUAGUUCUGACGAUUCAAGUUUCAGUAAUUAAGCGACGGCGACGCGCGCCGCGCCCUUGUACACAACCGGUUUGUUUACAUGGCCGCCGUUAGUUUUUAACACUGCCGCCGGGCUACCUCUAGGCCGCCCGAUACCACUAUACUGAUUUUUUUUUUUUGCGAUAACUCGACUUUGACUGGCACUACGGCUUAGGUCGUAAGCUUUUUAAAUUCGUGUUGUCUGUAGGAAUCGAUUGGUAGUGGUCCCCACCGGAUUGGACAAAAACUCAGGAACUUCGAAAAAGUACGAAGCUAUAUUAUAUCCCGAUUCCACAGCGACAGGAGAAACGCAGUG
Molecule: long non-coding RNA, 705 nt
Organism: Acyrthosiphon pisum (pea aphid)
Lineage: Eukaryota; Metazoa; Arthropoda; Insecta; Hemiptera; Aphididae
Exons: 3
Source: RefSeq, a predicted model, not a curated record